GUGGGGAAUUUUGGACAAUGGGCGCAAGCCUGAUCCAGCAAUGCCGCGUGCAGGAAGAAGGCCUUCGGGUUGUAAACUGCUUUUGUACGGAACGAAACGGUCCGGGUUAAUACCCUGGGCUAAUGACGGUACCGUAAGAAUAAGCACCGGCUAACUACGUGCCAGCAGCCGCGGUAAUAUGUAGGGUGCAAGCGUUAAUCGGAAUUACUGGGCGUAAAGCGUGCGCAGGCGGUUUUGUAAGACAGGCGUGAAAUCCCCGGGCUCAACCUGGGAAUUGCGCUUGUGACUGCAAGGCUGGAGUGCGGCAGAGGGGGAUGGAAUUCCGCGUGUAGCAGUGAAAUGCGUAGAUAUGCGGAGGAACACCGAUGGCGAAGGCAAUCCCCUGGGCCUGCACUGACGCUCAUGCACGAAAGCGUGGGGAGCAAACAGGAUUAGAAACCCGAGUAGUCC
RNAcentral lists this ribosomal RNA (450 nucleotides) under uncultured bacterium. RNAcentral describes it as "partial 16S ribosomal RNA". It matches the Rfam family "Bacterial small subunit ribosomal RNA", at positions 354 to 796 of the family's 1533-position model. The record is from RNAcentral.